Molecule: ribosomal RNA, 1085 nt
Filed under: Aliatypus thompsoni
Lineage: Eukaryota; Metazoa; Arthropoda; Arachnida; Araneae; Antrodiaetidae
Description: eukaryotic LSU rRNA
Rfam family: Eukaryotic large subunit ribosomal RNA
Source: RNAcentral
CUGGGAUUCCCUUAGUAACGGCGAGCGAACAGGGAAGAGUCCAGCGCCGAAUUCCGACUUCCCUGGCGGGGUCGCGAAAAUGUGGCGUUUGGGAGAAUGCUUCUAGGAGGCCAAACGCAGGGUGCAAGUCCCCCUGACCGGGGCUGUCUAUCCAGAGCGGGUGCGAGACCCGUGGCACCCGCGUCGGGCCUCCAGACGCGACCUCCCCAGAGUCGGGUUGCUUGAGAGUGCAGCCCCAAGAGGGUGGUAAACUCCACCUAAGACUAAAUACGGCCGUGAGACCGAUAGCAAACAAGUACCGUGAGGGAAAGUUGCAAAGAACUUUGAAGAGAGAGUUCAAGAGUACGUGAAACUGCUCAGAGGCAAACGGGUGGGCCCUCGAAGUCCCGUUGCGGGCGGAUUCAGUGGGGAAGCUUCCGGCCUCCGUCGUCUGACUCGUCGGUUGAACUGCGGUGGAAACGAGGAGUCGGCUUCGGGUGGUCCGGUCGUGGCCCCACGCAUUUCCGCCCCUAAUAAGGACGCCGCAGCCGGUCGGAAAUAGUGUCGGCGAAGAGGUCGGACCGAUGGCAGGUCGCCGGCGAUCGCCGUAAAAAGGCGCUUCGUCGGUGGGUAGCCGGUUCGGACCCAAGCCCGGCAUCCGACCGAGGCUGUGCUUUCUCCUACUUCUAUAAUUUAUUUAGAAGUGCGGCCGGCCGGCAGACUGGUGCGCUGCUGCGACAUCGCCGUCAGGCUUUUUGCACUGGGCGUCUCGCAGGCAUCACCCAGAGUGUGCAAGGUCCCGCGAGGAGGAAUACGGCUGGCGGCGAGUAGGUCGGUCACCCACCCGACCCGUCUUGAAACACGGACCAAGGAGUCUAACAUGUGUGCGAGUCACGGGGUCUUGGACAGGCCCAGAGGCAGAAUGAAAGUGACUCUUAAUAAGUCGGGAUUCCUACGAGAGAGAGAGCGUAGGAAGCACCGACGGCCCGCCCGCGUCGAUUUUCGAGCGGGCGGAGUCCGAGCCCACACGUUGGGACCCGAAAGAUGGUGAACUAUGCCUGGGCAGGACGAAGCCAGAGGAAACUCUGGUGGAGGUCCGCAGCGGU